This 86-nucleotide transfer RNA is filed under the name Yarrowia alimentaria. RNAcentral describes it as "transfer RNA-Ser". It matches the Rfam family "tRNA". From Rfam's summary of the family: Transfer RNA (tRNA) molecules are approximately 80 nucleotides in length. Their secondary structure includes four short double-helical elements and three loops (D, anti-codon, and T loops). Lineage: Eukaryota; Fungi; Ascomycota; Dipodascomycetes; Dipodascales. The record is from RNAcentral.
GGAUAUUUGGCUGAGCGGUUGAAAGCAUGAUAUUUGAGCUAUCAUAUAUAAUAUUUAUAUCGAGAGUUCGAAUCUCUCAGUAUCCG